This is a non-coding RNA of Paramuricea clavata, 157 nucleotides long. The record is from the annotation of a GenBank genome assembly. Lineage: Eukaryota; Metazoa; Cnidaria; Anthozoa; Malacalcyonacea; Plexauridae.
AUCGUCGAAUAUCGACGUCAUAAACACCAAAGUUGAUCGUGUUUAUGACGUCGAAUAUCGACGUCAUAAACACCCAAGUUGUUCGUGUUUAUGACGUCGAAUAUCGACGUCAUAAACACCAAAGUUGUUCGUGUUUAUGACGUCGAAUAUCGACGUC